This 612-nucleotide ribosomal RNA is filed under the name uncultured bacterium. RNAcentral's name for it is "bacterial SSU rRNA". It matches the Rfam family "Bacterial small subunit ribosomal RNA", at positions 31 to 642 of the family's 1533-position model. The record is from RNAcentral.
GAACGCUGGCGGCGGCCUAACAAUGCAAGUCGAACGGUAACAUUUCUAGCUUGCUAGAAGAUGACGAGUGGCGGACGGGUGAGUAAUGCUUGGGAACUUGCCUUUGCGAGGGGGAUAACAGUUGGAAACGACUGCUAAUACCGCAUAAUGUCUACGGACCAAACGGGGCUUCGGCUCCGGCGCAAAGAGAGGCCCAAGUGAGAUUAGCUAGUUGGUAAGGUAACGGCUUACCAAGGCGACGAUCUCUAGCUGUUCUGAGAGGAAGAUCAGCCACACUGGGACUGAGACACGGCCCAGACUCCUACGGGAGGCAGCAGUGGGGAAUAUUGCACAAUGGGGGGAACCCUGAUGCAGCCAUGCCGCGUGUGUGAAGAAGGCCUUCGGGUUGUAAAGCACUUUCAGUUGUGAGGAAAAGUUAGUAGUUAAUACCUGCUAACCGUGACGUUAACAACAGAAGAAGCACCGGCUAACUCCGUGCCAGCAGCCGCGGUAAUACGGAGGGUGCGAGCGUUAAUCGGAAUUACUGGGCGUAAAGCGCACGCAGGCGGUUUGUUAAGCUAGAUGUGAAGGCCCCGGGCUCAACCUGGGAUGGUCAUUUAGAACUGGCAGACU